UUAGAGGGACUAUCGGCUCAAGCCGAUGGAAGUUUGAGGCAAUAACAGGUCUGUGAUGCCCUUAGAWGUUYUGGGCCGCACGCGCGCUACMCUGACAGAGCCAACGAGUAUAAACCUUAACCGAGAGGUUUGGGUAAUCUUGUUAAACUCUGUCGUGCUGGGGAUAGAGCAUUGCAAUUAUUGCUCUUCAACGAGGAAUAUCUAGUAAGCGCAAGUCAUCAGCUUGCGUUGAUUACGUCCCUGCCCUUUGUACACACCGCCCGUCGCUACUACCGAUUGAAUGGCUCAGUGAGGCCUUCGGACUGGCUCAGGGAGGUCGGCAACGACCAUCCAGAGCCGGAAAGUUGGUCAAACUUGGUCAUUUAGAGGAAGUAAAAGUCGUAACAAGGUUUCCGUAGGUGAACCUGCGGAAGGAUCAUUACUAUAACAGAAAGUUGCUGGUUCAGGCCAGUUAACAUUCUUCAACCCUUUGUGAACCAAAAAACUUUAGCUUCGGUAGCAGGCCGGUUAACUUCUGAUUACCGCGCCAUCAGCCUGCCUGUAGCACCUAACCAAACUGUUAUUUAAACAUUGUCUGAAUCAAAUCAUUUUCGAAUGAAAUUAAAACUUUCAACAACGGAUCUCUUGGUUCUCGCAUCGAUGAAGAACGCAGCGAAACGCGAUAGUUAAUGUGAAUUGCAGAAUUCAGUGAAUCAUCGAAUCUUUGAACGCACAUUGCGCCCCUUGGUAUUCCGAAGGGCAUGUCUGUUUGAGCGUCAUUUCAACACCCUCACCUAAGGUUUUGCUACCAAAAGGUGGUCUUGGGCUGUGCCUUAACCGGCUGGCUUUAAAGUUGACGUUCUGUGUGGUACUCAUCCUUACCUUCUGUAGUAAUUUAUUUUAUAACUGUUCGUUAGGAUUUGGCAAGCACCUGAAAAAAUCUUUCUUCUAAGGUUUGACCUCAGAUCAGACAAGGAUACCCGCUGAACUUAAGCAUAUCAAUAAGCGGAGGAAAAGAAACCAACAGGGAUUGCCUCAGUAACGGCGAGUGAAGCGGCAACAGCUCAAAUUUGAAAUCUGGAGUCUUUGACUUCCGAGUUGUAAUUUGAAGAGGAUGUUACGGUUGUGACCAUGGCCUAAGUUCCUUGGAACAGGACGUCGUAGAGGGUGAGAAUCCCGUACACGGCUGAUGGUUUACUUCCAUGUGUAGCUCCUUCGAAGAGUCGAGUUGUUUGGGAAUGCAGCUCAAAUUGGGUGGUAAAUUUCAUCUAAAGCUAAAUACUGGCGAGAGACCGAUAGCGCACAAGUAGAGUGAUCGAAAGAUGAAAAGCACUUUGAAAAGAGAGUUAAACAGUACGUGAAAUUGUUGAAAGGGAAGCGCUUGCAAUCAGACUUGCUUUCGGUUGAUCAACGUUCCUUUUGGUUCGUGUACUCUGCCGUUUGCAGGCCAGCAUCAGUUUGAGCGGUAGGAUAAAAGUUUAGGGAAUGUGGCUCUCUUCGGGGAGUGUUAUAGCCCUUUUCACAAUGCUACCUGUACAGACUGAGGUCCGCGCUUUGCUAGGAUGCUGGCUUAAUGGUUGUAAGCGACCCGUCUUGAAACACGGACCAAGGAGUCUAACAUUUAUGCGAGUGUUUGGGUGUUAAACCCAUACGCGAAAUGAAAGUGAACGGAGGUGGGAGUCUUCGGAUGCACCAUCGACCGAUCCUGAUGUUCUUCGGAUGGAUUUGAGUAGGAGCAUAACUGUUGGGACCCGAAAGAUGGUGAACUAUGCCUGAAUAGGGUGAAGCCAGA
This 1771-nucleotide ribosomal RNA is filed under the name Orbilia amarilla. RNAcentral's name for it is "bacterial SSU rRNA". The record is from RNAcentral. Lineage: Eukaryota; Fungi; Ascomycota; Orbiliomycetes; Orbiliales; Orbiliaceae.